This 451-nucleotide ribosomal RNA is filed under the name uncultured bacterium. Its description in RNAcentral is "bacterial SSU rRNA". It matches the Rfam family "Bacterial small subunit ribosomal RNA", at positions 29 to 524 of the family's 1533-position model. The record is from RNAcentral.
AACGAACGCUGGCGGCAUGCCUAACACAUGCAAGUCGAACGAAGCCUUCGGGCUUAGUGGCGCACGGGUGCGUAACACGUGGGAAUCUGCCCUUCGGUUCGGAAUAACAGUUAGAAAUGACUGCUAAUACCGGAUGAUGACGUAAGUCCAAAGAUUUAUCGCCGAAGGAUGAGCCCGCGUAGGAUUAGGUAGUUGGUAGGGUAAUGGCCUACCAAGCCGACGAUCCUUAGCUGGUCUGAGAGGAUGAUCAGCCACACUGGGACUGAGACACGGCCCAGACUCCUACGGGAGGCAGCAGUGGGGAAUAUUGGACAAUGGGCGAAAGCCUGAUCCAGCAAUGCCGCGUGAGUGAUGAAGGCCUUAGGGUUGUAAAGCUCUUUUACCAGGGAUGAUAAUGACAGUACCUGGAGAAUAAGACUCCGGCUAACUCCGUGCCAGCAGCCGCGGUAAU